Molecule: unclassified non-coding RNA, 504 nt
Filed under: Hevea brasiliensis (rubber tree)
Lineage: Eukaryota; Viridiplantae; Streptophyta; Magnoliopsida; Malpighiales; Euphorbiaceae
Source: RNAcentral
GAUUUCUCCAGUGAACAAUCUUUCUGCAUGUGGUUAUGGGGUCAUCUGAGUAAAAAGGAGGGUAUCCAACUAGCAUUUCGUACAUUAUUGCUCCUAGUGACCACCAGUCACACUCCAUGCCAUAUCCUUUCUUCAGUAAUACUUCAGGAGCAAUGUAAUCUGGUGUUCCCACGGUAGAAAAUGCCAACUUCCUCCUGUUCAUUUGCCAGUGCUGAAGCUGUUCAUGGGGGCUUUUCCAAUUACUUAUAUUGUCAGCAUCAGGAAUACUUCCAUCAAUAUCCAUUGGUUCAGUCAUAUUUUCAUCAUCAAUUGUCUUAUUUUCAGGAAUCACAGAUAAAGCUGAACAAUCAAGAGGCUUACAAAGGCCAAAAUCAGAUAGCUUCAUAUGACCAUUUUUAUCCAGAAGAAGGUUGUCAGGCUUUAUAUCCCUGUGAAUGUAAUUAUGUUUGUGAAUUGACUCAAUUGCGAGAACACUUUGAGCAAUGUAAAACUUCGCCACAUUUU